GCUGGGUGUGGUGGCCCACGCCUGUAAUCCCAGCAGCUCGGGAGGCUGAGGCAGGAGGAUGGCCAGUUCAAAACCAGCCUCAGCAAAAGGGAGGCGCUAAGCAACUCAGUGAGACCCUGUCUCUA
RNAcentral lists this small RNA (125 nucleotides) under Marmota monax (woodchuck). The record is from RNAcentral. Lineage: Eukaryota; Metazoa; Chordata; Mammalia; Rodentia; Sciuridae.